GAAGCACACUGCAGAGCUGCAGGACAAGCUGUGGGUUUCUGGCAUCAGCCCUGCGGCUGGAGGCAUGGCAGGUUUCCUGCCCAAUACCCACUGCUUCUAAGGCCUGCUGCCGCCACCCAGGCAUCUCUUACUCUCUGCACACUGUCUUGGGACAGCCGGCUCUAGGAAUUCUCGCUAUGGCACUCGAUUCAGCCAGGAGACAGGUGAUGCGUAAUGCUGUCAGAAAGCAUGUGCUGGUGAAGAAAUACAUUGAGCCCUGCUUGGUCCAGUGAGGUUAUUAGUGAAUUGGGAGAGGCUCAAAUCAGCAUGCAAACUAUUGUGAAAUUUUGACAGGUUCUUGCUAAGUUGCCAAGAGUCUUGCGAAGUUGCUCAGAUUGGCUUGAAACUUGUGAUCCUCCUGCUUCAGCCUCUGGAGUUGCUGGGAUUACAAGUGUGUACCACCACACAUGGCUCUGCCUGCUCAGCAGAUUCACCAGAGUGCCAGGAUCAAUCACUAUUUCUGAGGAUAUCCUGGUGAGGCAGUUUGGAAACCUUGGCUGAAUUGUGAAGGCAUAUCUUUGAAAAGUGUUUCAGAGUCCAGCAAAUGUUCCAUGUGAGUGACCACAUAGAAGAAGAGAAGGGGGUUCGCAGUGAUUAAGCAGGAUCUUGUGAGAGAGACUCUAUGGUCUGUAGAGCCUGAGGGCCUCACUAAAUUGCUAGGAUUGGCUUUGAACUUGUGAUCCUCCUUCUUCAGCUUCCUGAGCUGCUGGGAUUAAAGAUGUGUUGGAUUUGGAGGAAUUAAUCCUUCCAUUGCUAUCUCAAAAGGUGAUCUAGACAAUGGAACAGAGACCUCUCAAUCAGGGGUUGCAAUUGCAAAUGCCUGCAGGAACCACAUGGGGUGUGGGUAUCAAGCCUAAGGCCUUGUGUAUGCUAGGCAAGUGCUUUACCAAUGAGCUACACCCCCAGCCUGAUCAAACCCAGUGCCUUGCACAUGCUAGGAUAUGUUACAUCCCUGGCUGCCUUCCUCCAAGCAUCAGUAGUGAUCUCAACUCAACCACUAUGACAAGUAAAAAGGUCCCUACAAAGUUUUCACAACACUGCCCAAGGGUUCUACUGUUCUGGGUUGUCCCUUUCACAAAUAAUGGUGCAAUGAAAACUUGAUCCGUGUGUCCUUGUCCUUUUUAUAUUUUAUUUUGAGACGGGUCUUGCUAAGUUGAAUAGUGCCUCACUAAGUUGCUGAGGCUGGCUUUGGACUCCCAGAACUCCUGCCUCAGCCUCCCGAGCUGCUGGGAUUAUAGGCGUGUGCCACUACUUUCGGCUGUAAUGCUUUUCUUAAUUGUUCCCACAUCUUAUUAAGAUCGGGUAAUUGAGGUCAAAUACACUCAGUAACAUUGCUCCCAAAUGUCAGAGUGAAGACUCUCUCUCAUUAUCAAUGAUGCUUAAGUUGGAGAAUUAUGUCAGAUGAGGAAUCAUUCCAUCAAGUAACCGGGAAUAUUGCUGUGAAGAGGUCUGUCUUUUUGUAAGAGGGGUGUUCUCUUGCUUCUUGAGAGAGAAUUCAUAAACGCAGUAAGGCCUUUGCCAGAAAACAUCUUUAAUAAAUAAAGAGAACUCUGGUCCUGGGGAGAUUUGAGAAAGUUUCUGGCAUCUUCCGGACUUUUGCAUAAUUGAUAAAUCCUCUGAGAAACAGGAGAGAGCCUAAAACCAGGAACACCCACCAGAACCAGUACUGAACCAUCAAAGUAUCCAGGGAAGUAGGUGGAAAACUUGACAAUCAGGAUCCACUUAAUUGGAGAGAGACCAAAUCCUGAGAUGGCCCCAUACCUUCCUGCAGCUGAGGUGGUCAGGCAAAAAGACAGGAAAAACUCAAUCCAGUUGAAGAUGAAUGCCAUGAAAAAAGUUGACAUGAAAAUCCCAUCAUUUCCUAUCCUCAGCUGUUCAGCAUCAUCAAAAUCAUCCCGGCCCACAAAAUCUUCAUCUCUUCAGCUUUCAACCUCAUCAUAAGUGGGCAGUGUUGUGGCCACGUUAUAAGAUGGGGGCUUUGGAAACCCAGAUUCGUUGUUGUAGUCAAAAUAGGCUGCACUAUCUGCAGAGAUGCUGCUGUAAGGUGGUGGAGCAUCACCUGCAGCCUGCUCAGGUUCCCCAGGCUCUUCAUUCUGCAACUGUUGGUACCAGCUGCCAUAGGCCGGCUCCACCUCUGCCAGCGCCGCCAACGCCAUUGCCAGGGCGCAGCCGUCCGCAGGGAAGGAAGUCAAACGAGCUGAAGGCGCUGGCGCUGCGGCCUGGGAGCGCUGCCAGGCUGAGAGGGACGCACCUCUCGUGGGUCUCCGCUCCCCCAGAGACGCUCUGCUCAGGCUGUCCCUAUUCUGUAUUUUGUUUAGACAGAAGGUCUCACUGAGUUGCUUAGUGCCUCCCUGUUGCUGAGGCUGGGUUUGAAUUCACGAUCCUCCUGCCUGAUCCUCCUGAGCCGCUGGGAUUACAGGCAUGUGCCACCAUGCCCAGCUAAUUUUUGUUUUGUUUUGUUUUAGGUACUGGGGAUUGAACUCAGGGUGGUUUACCACCAAGCUGCAUCCUAACCCUUUAUAAUUUUUUGUUUUUCAUUUGGAGUCAGAGUCUCUCACUAAGUUGCCAAAGCUGAACUUUGGAUGCUCUUGCCUCAGUCUCCUGAAUCACUAGGAUAAGUCAUGUGCUACCAUGCUGGGCAUUUUUCUAAUAUUUUUGGAAAGUUUUCAAUUUUUCUCUUUGAAGUAUGAUGUUACCAGUGGGAUUUUCUUAGAUUCCCUUCUCAAGUUGUGUUUGUUCCCUUAUAUCCUUAGUUUGUUGAAUGGUUUUAUUAUGAAAAAGCACUGAGUUUAUUCAAAUGCUUUUUUUGCAUCAGUUGAGAUGACCAUGUAUUUAUUCAUCUUUUUGAUACUUAAUUAUAAGAGUUUAUUAAUGAAUACCAACUGUUUUUCAUAUGCUCAAACACAGUUGCAUUACUGGGAUAAAUUUCAGUUGGUCAGGGUAUAUAAUUAUUUUAAUGUGCUCCUGCAUUUGGGUUGCUAAUAUAUUGUUGAGUACUUUUGUAUUUAUACUUUUAAGAGAUACGGUUCUGCAAUCUUCUUGUUAUUCCUUUGUCUGAUUUUGUUGUAGUAAUUUUACUUUUAUAGAAUGAUUAAGAAAUAUAUUCUCUCCCAAUGAAUUUUUUUAAUCUUUGGAAAAAGUUUUGUUCUUACAUAUUUUAUUUAUUUUUAGUUAUGAAAAUAAAUAAAUCAUGAACAUGAAAAAA
This 3244-nucleotide long non-coding RNA is filed under the name Marmota monax (woodchuck). Lineage: Eukaryota; Metazoa; Chordata; Mammalia; Rodentia; Sciuridae. The record is from RNAcentral.